AGUCUGAGUUAAGGUCUUAUCCUUUUGGACAAAAGCAUCAUGGGAACGAAAUAGAACGUGUACUCAGGUUCCCUUCCUGAGGUCAUCUGUCUGCUGUGGGUAAGUCCCCGUCACUUCUAAAUAGUGUCUACUACUGGGGUCAGAGGCCAUGGUAGACUGAACAUCUACUCUGCAAAGAGCAUCUGCUCUCUCUGUACAGUGGGCAAUAGUAGGGAUAAAGGAAAAGAUGCUAACAUCCAGUUAACUACAGUGUCUGGCAGCCUUAUUCCUUCAUAUGACUCUUUUCAAAGAUAAUAUGAUGGGCUUCAGGAUGAUAACAGCAGCUACACAGGCUUCUCUCUGUGUGUAUUUGUUUUGUCUUGUUUUCAGCACUUUACUGUGUUUUGGUAGUGUUGGUAGCUUUGUUUGUUUGUUUGUUUGUUUAUUUAUUUAUUUAUUUAUUAGCAAUGUUCUUCUAUACUCUAUGAAUUUGAAGGCAGUCUGAUUUACAUAUUGAGUUCCAGGCCAGCCAGGGAUACAUAAAAAAAAAAAAAA
Molecule: long non-coding RNA, 534 nt
Filed under: Rattus norvegicus (Norway rat)
Lineage: Eukaryota; Metazoa; Chordata; Mammalia; Rodentia; Muridae
Description: long non-coding RNA NONRATT011650
Source: RNAcentral